Sciurus vulgaris (Eurasian red squirrel) is the source of this 104-nucleotide small nucleolar RNA. The record is from Ensembl. Lineage: Eukaryota; Metazoa; Chordata; Mammalia; Rodentia; Sciuridae.
AUCCUUUUCAGUUCAAAAGCAUAAUGAUUGGGCAUUCACGCUGUUGUGUGAGAUGUGCCUUCCUCCAAACUUUGUUAUAAUGUAAACACAUUACCUGUCUGAUG